CCUACGGGGGCUGCAGUGGGGAAUAUUGGACAAUGGGCGAAAGCCUGAUCCAGCCAUGCCGCGUGUGUGAAGAAGGCCUUCGGGUUGUAAAGCACUUUCAGUGGAGAAGAAAGCCUUGGGGCUAAUACCCUCGAGGAAGGACAUCACCCACAGAAGAAGCACCGGCUAACUCCGUGCCAGCAGCCGCGGUAAUACGGAGGGUGCGAGCGUUAAUCGGAAUUACUGGGCGUAAAGCGCGCGUAGGCGGUCUGAUAAGCCGGUUGUGAAAGCCCCGGGCUCAACCUGGGAACGGCAUCCGGAACUGUCAGGCUAGAGUGCAGGAGAGGAAGGUAGAAUUCCCGGUGUAGCGGUGAAAUGCGUAGAGAUCGGGAGGAAUACCAGUGGCGAAGGCGGCCUUCUGGACUGACACUGACGCUGAGGUGCGAAAGCGUGGGUAGCAAACAGGAUUAGAUACCCGGGUAGUC
This 464-nucleotide ribosomal RNA is filed under the name Vreelandella stevensii. Its description in RNAcentral is "partial 16S ribosomal RNA". It matches the Rfam family "Bacterial small subunit ribosomal RNA", at positions 338 to 795 of the family's 1533-position model. The record is from RNAcentral. Lineage: Bacteria; Pseudomonadati; Pseudomonadota; Gammaproteobacteria; Oceanospirillales; Halomonadaceae.